This 19-nucleotide ribosomal RNA is filed under the name Psophocarpus tetragonolobus (winged bean). RNAcentral's name for it is "partial small subunit ribosomal RNA". The record is from RNAcentral. Lineage: Eukaryota; Viridiplantae; Streptophyta; Magnoliopsida; Fabales; Fabaceae.
GGUUUAAGGUGACUGCGGA